GUGCUUGCUUUGGCAGCACAUACACUAAAAUUGGAAUGAUACAGAGAAGAUUAGCAAGGCCCCUGUGCAAGGAUGACAUUCAACUCAUGAAGCGUGCCAUAUUAAA
This is a small nuclear RNA of Jaculus jaculus (lesser Egyptian jerboa), 106 nucleotides long. NCBI's taxonomy places the organism in Eukaryota, Metazoa, Chordata, Mammalia, Rodentia, Dipodidae. The record is from Ensembl.